GAUGAAGAACGCAGCGAAAUGCGAUAAGUAAUGUGAAUUGCAGAAUUCAGUGAAUCAUCGAAUCUUUGAACGCACCUUGCGCCUUUUGGUAUUCCGAAAGGCACACCUGUUUGAGCGUCAUGAAUACCUCAAUCUCCAUCUUUUCUUCGGAUUGAUGGGUGACUUGGAUGUUGAGCCCUGCUGGUAUGCUAUAUCAGCUGGCUUUAAACUUAUUAGCCGGCUCUGUACUGGAUCGGUUUGACUCGACGUGAUAAUAUUAUCGUUGAGGAUGCAUGUCUCAUGCAGCCGGAAAGUAUCAAAGCAGCUUCUAGCUUGCCUUUAGUGCACUUUUACAUUUUAGACCUCAGAUCAGGUGGGACUACCCGCUGAACUUAAGCAUACAAUAAGCGGAGGA
This 394-nucleotide unclassified non-coding RNA is filed under the name soil metagenome. Its description in RNAcentral is "partial contains 5.8S ribosomal RNA, internal transcribed spacer 2, and large subunit ribosomal RNA". The stretch from base 1 to 120 matches the Rfam family "5.8S ribosomal RNA", at positions 35 to 154 of the family's 154-position model. The record is from RNAcentral.